RNAcentral lists this ribosomal RNA (434 nucleotides) under uncultured bacterium. RNAcentral describes it as "bacterial SSU rRNA". It matches the Rfam family "Bacterial small subunit ribosomal RNA", at positions 958 to 1392 of the family's 1533-position model. The record is from RNAcentral.
AACGCGAAGAAUCUUACAUACUUUUGACAUCCAGAGAACUUUGCAGAGAUGCUUUGGUGCCUUCGGGAACUCUGAGACAGGUGGGGCAUGGGUGUUGUCAGCUCGUGUUGUGAAAUGUUGGGUUAAGUCCCGCAACGAGCGCAACCCUUAUCCUUUGUUGCCAGCGGUCCGGCCGGGAACUCAAAGGAGACUGCCAGUGAUAAACUGGAGGAAGGUGGGGAUGACGUCAAGUCAUCAUGGCCCUUACGAGUAGGGCUACACACGUGCUACAAUGGCAUAUACAAAGAGAAGCGACCUCGCGAGAGCAAGCGGACCUCAUAAAGUAUGUCGUAGUCCGGAUUGGAGUCUGCAACUCGACUCCAUGAAGUCGGAAUCGCUAGUAAUCGUGGAUCAAAAUGGCCCGGUGAAAACCUUCCCGGGUCUUGUACACACCG